This 433-nucleotide ribosomal RNA is filed under the name uncultured bacterium. RNAcentral describes it as "partial 16S ribosomal RNA". It matches the Rfam family "Bacterial small subunit ribosomal RNA", at positions 29 to 507 of the family's 1533-position model. The record is from RNAcentral.
AACGAACGCUGGCGGCAUGCCUAACACAUGCAAGUCGAACGAGACCUUCGGGUCUAGUGGCGCACGGGUGCGUAACGCGUGGGAACCUGCCCUUAGGUUUGGAAUAACUCCCCGAAAGGGGUGCUAAUACCGGAUAAUGUCUUCGGACCAAAGAUUUAUCGCCUUUGGAUGGGCCCGCGUUGGAUUAGCUAGUUGGUAGGGUAAAAGCCUACCAAGGCGACGAUCCAUAGCUGGUCUGAGAGGAUGAUCAGCCACACUGGGACUGAGACACGGCCCAGACUCCUACGGGAGGCAGCAGUGGGGAAUAUUGGACAAUGGGCGAAAGCCUGAUCCAGCAAUGCCGCGUGAGUGAUGAAGGCCUUAGGGUUGUAAAGCUCUUUUACCCGGGAUGAUAAUGACAGCACCGGGAGAAUAAGCACCGGCUAACUCCGUG